AGCGAACGCUGGCGGCAGGCCUAACACAUGCAAGUCGAACGAACUCUUCGGAGUUAGUGGCGGACGGGUGAGUAACACGUGGGAACGUGCCUUUAGGUUCGGAAUAACUCAGGGAAACUUGUGCUAAUACCGAAUGUGCCCUUCGGGGGAAAGAUUUAUCGCCUUUCAAGCGGCCCGCGUCUGAUUAGCUAGUUGGUGAGGUAAAGGCUCACCAAGGCGACGAUCAGUAGCUGGUCUGAGAGGAAGAUCAGCCACAUUGGGACUGGGACACGGCCCAAACUCCUGCGGGAGGCAGCAGUGGGGAAUCUUGCGCAAUGGGCGAAAGCCUGACGCAGCCAUGCCGCGUGAAUGAUGAAGGUCUGAGGAUUGUAAAAUUCUUUAACCGGGGACGAUAAUGACGGUACCCGGAGAAGAAGCCCCGGCUAACUUCGUG
RNAcentral lists this ribosomal RNA (433 nucleotides) under uncultured bacterium. RNAcentral describes it as "partial 16S ribosomal RNA". It matches the Rfam family "Bacterial small subunit ribosomal RNA", at positions 29 to 507 of the family's 1533-position model. The record is from RNAcentral.